UACGUAAGGGGCGAGCGUUGUCCGGGUUUAUUGGGCGUAAAGAGCUCGUAGGCGGUUUGGUAAGUCGGGUGUGAAAUCUCCACGCUCAACGUGGAGGGGCCACUCGAUACUGCCAUGACUCGAGUCCGGUAGAGGAGUGUGGAAUUCCCGGUGUAGCGGUGAAAUGCGCAGAUAUCGGGAGGAACACCCGUAGCGAAGGCGGCACUCUGGGCCGGAACUGACGCUGAGGAGCGAAAGCGUGGGGAGCAAACAGG
RNAcentral lists this ribosomal RNA (254 nucleotides) under uncultured bacterium. RNAcentral describes it as "partial 16S ribosomal RNA". It matches the Rfam family "Bacterial small subunit ribosomal RNA", at positions 524 to 776 of the family's 1533-position model. The record is from RNAcentral.